Molecule: long non-coding RNA, 207 nt
Filed under: Manihot esculenta (cassava)
Lineage: Eukaryota; Viridiplantae; Streptophyta; Magnoliopsida; Malpighiales; Euphorbiaceae
Description: long non-coding RNA (MESC_LNC011465)
Source: RNAcentral
CCAACUACAACACUUCAAACACCCACAAUCAACACACAUUGACCAAAACAUCAAUAUUAACCCAUAACUCAACAUAUAACCUAACAUGCAUUUCUACCCAUAGAUCUAGCAUAAAACUUACUUAAAACACAUGAGGAGCUUAAGAUCGGCUCUUACCUCUUGAAGAUCGAGAGAGAGAUGACCUAAACUUGGAGAUCCACGAAAAUG